This 384-nucleotide ribosomal RNA is filed under the name uncultured bacterium. RNAcentral's name for it is "bacterial SSU rRNA". It matches the Rfam family "Bacterial small subunit ribosomal RNA", at positions 30 to 416 of the family's 1533-position model. The record is from RNAcentral.
AUUGAACGCUGGCGGCAUGCCUUACACAUGCAAGUCGAACGGCAGCGGGCCUUCGGGUGCCGGCGAGUGGCGAACGGGUGAGUAAUGCAUCGGAACGUGCCAUUGAGUGGGGGAUAACGUAGCGAAAGUUACGCUAAUACCGCAUAUUCUGUGAGCAGGAAAGCAGGGGAUCGCAAGACCUUGCGCUGAUUGAGCGGCCGAUGUCAGAUUAGCUAGUUGGUGAGGUAAAGGCUCACCAAGGCGACGAUCUGUAGCGGGUCUGAGAGGAUGAUCCGCCACACUGGAACUGAGACACGGUCCAGACUCCUACGGGAGGCAGCAGUGGGGAAUUCUGGACAAUGGGGGCAACCCUGAUCCAGCCAUGCCGCGUGAGUGAAGAAGGCC